AGUGAAUAGAUACCCAGGUAGUCCACGCCCUAAACGAUGCGAACUAGGUGUUGGGGAAGGAGACUUUCUUAGUACCGCAGCUAAACGCGUGAAGUUCGCCGCCUGGGGAGUACGGUCGCAAGAUUAAAACUCAAAGGAAUUGACGGGGACCCGCACAAGCGGUGGAUGAUGUGGAUUAAAUUCGAUGCAACGCGAAAAACCUUACCUACCCUUGACAUGUCAGGAAGUCUGCUGAGAGGUGGAUGUGCCCGAAAGGGAACCUGAACACAGGUGCUGCAUGGCUGUCGUCAGCUCGUGUCGUGAGAUGUUGGGUUAAGUCCCGCAACGAGCGCAACCCUUGUCAUUAAUUGCCAUCAUUCAGUUGGGCACUUUAAUGAGACUGCCGGUGACAAACCGGAGGAAGGUGGGGAUGACGUCAAGUCCUCAUGGCCCUUAUGGGUAGGGCUUCACACGCCAUACAAUGGUCGGUACAGAGGGUCGCCAACCCGCGAGGGGAGCCAAUCCCACAAAGCCGAUCGUAGUCCGGAUCGCAGUCUGC
This 538-nucleotide ribosomal RNA is filed under the name uncultured bacterium. RNAcentral's name for it is "bacterial SSU rRNA". It matches the Rfam family "Bacterial small subunit ribosomal RNA", at positions 773 to 1308 of the family's 1533-position model. The record is from RNAcentral.